ACAGCUCAAAUUUGAAAUCUGGUCCCCUCUGGGGGCCCGAGUUGUAAUUUGAAGAGGAUGCUUUUGGCGAGGCGCCUUCCGAGUGCCCUGGAACGGGACGCCACAGAGGGUGAGAGCCCCGUAUGGUCGGACGCCGAGCCUAUGUAAAGCUCCUUCUACGAGUCGAGUAGUUUGGGAAUGCUGCUCAAAAUGGGAGGUAAACCCCUUCUAAAGCUAAAUACCGGCCAGAGACCGAUAGCGCACAAGUAGAGUGAUCGAAAGAUGAAAAGCACUUUGAAAAGAGAGUUAAACAGCACGUGAAAUUGUUGAAAGGGAAGCGCUUGCGACCAGACUUGCGCCCGUCGGAUCAACCGUCCCUCGUGGGCGGCGCACUCCGGCGGGCUCAGGCCAGCAUCAGUUUUCCGGGGGGGAGAAAGCCGGUCGGAAUGUAGCUCUUCGGAGUGUUAUAGCCUUCCGGGUAAUACCCCCUGGGGGACUGAGGACCGCGCUUUAUGCAAGGAUGCUGGCGUAAUGGUCGUCAGCGACCCGUCUUGAAACACGGACCAAGGAGUCGUCCUAAUAUGCGAGUGUACGGGUGUAAAACCCCUGCGCGUAAUGAAAGUGAACGGAGGUGAGAGCUUCGGCGCAUCAUCGACCGAUCCUGAUGUUCUCGGAUGGAUUUGAGUAAGAGCAUAUUGGGCCGGACCCGAAAGAAGGUGAACUAUGCCUGUAUAGGGUAAAGCCAGAGGAAACUCUGGUGGAGGCUCGCAGCGGUUUAAACGUGCAGGUCGAUCGUC
Molecule: ribosomal RNA, 776 nt
Filed under: Doratomyces sp. 799_1_N01
Lineage: Eukaryota; Fungi; Ascomycota; Sordariomycetes; Microascales; Microascaceae
Description: eukaryotic LSU rRNA
Rfam family: Eukaryotic large subunit ribosomal RNA
Source: RNAcentral